CUCCCCAUGAUGUCCUUAGUUCUGAUGACUCAGAACAAGGCAACAUCUCAGCCUCCAUCUCGAGUUUCUCAGAGAAUCUGAUCAGUCAGAUUUCGGACAUCUGCCCCACACUGGCUCAAACCACUCCAAUGGAGGUUGGGCCUGGAGCAUAUCUUGAGUUCUGGGACUGUCCCCCCAGGCAUGGGGCACUUCUCAGAGCUUUUUGGCUCUGCUCUCUGGAGAGUCCUUCCUCUCCGUUGCCUUACUUGGUCUCACCUGAGUACUGAGCUACACAGCUUUCCCAGCCUGUGUCCUGCCCUGAAUUAGAGCUGGUGCCUUGGGAUUUUUCAACUGGGCUCUUGGUUUCUUUGCACUGCUCACAACUCUUGAAACCAUUAGGCCCCUCUGUCUGCUUCCAGAUAUUUCUAUGAGCAACCAACCAUGUUUAGAGUUCUCCUUGAGGGAUGAUUGUAUUUCUCAAUGUGCUUUGUCCCUUUGUUUGCUUGUCACGGAAACAACUUCUUUUUCUUCUUCCCCUCUGUUGGGUGUGUGGGAGACUCCCCGCUGAAAUUAAGUUUCUGUCUUGUGAGAACAUCACGGGUAAUCCCUUACACCUCCCCCUCCUCUCCAAAGGGCUCCAGAUUCAAAAGUUUUCUCGACCAAUCCCCACGGAACACAGUGUCCUGAGUCACCCUGCCAAUCAGCACCUGCUAUGUGGCCUAUGCAACCCUUCUUAAACCGAAGCUUGCAAGCUCACUCUUUCUGCCCUCCUCCUCUCCUCUCUCUGCUCUCUGCCUCUGCUUUUCUUCCCCCUUGGGCAGCCCCCCAAUAAAAUCCCUUGGUUGAAUCUCUGUCUCGGGUGAGUCACUCGCCUUUCACCC
This 860-nucleotide long non-coding RNA is filed under the name Marmota monax (woodchuck). Lineage: Eukaryota; Metazoa; Chordata; Mammalia; Rodentia; Sciuridae. The record is from RNAcentral.